UUUUAAUAUUAUUAAAAAAUUAAUUUCAAAAUAUCAUCUAAACUUCAAAGCCUAAACUUUAGACUUAUAUAUAUAUCAUACCCCAAAUUAAACUUUUUUUUUUGAAACACACCGAGAUUAAUUAUAUAUUGUAAACUCUAACAAAAUCUUAAAAACUCUAAUAAUUUUAUUAUCUAACUUCGAAUCCUAAAUUUUAUCUCAAAACAUAAAAUCUAACCCUCCA
RNAcentral lists this long non-coding RNA (223 nucleotides) under Brassica napus (rape). Its description in RNAcentral is "long non-coding RNA (BNAP_LNC025047)". Lineage: Eukaryota; Viridiplantae; Streptophyta; Magnoliopsida; Brassicales; Brassicaceae. The record is from RNAcentral.